This 492-nucleotide ribosomal RNA is filed under the name uncultured bacterium. RNAcentral describes it as "partial 16S ribosomal RNA". It matches the Rfam family "Bacterial small subunit ribosomal RNA", at positions 29 to 507 of the family's 1533-position model. The record is from RNAcentral.
AGUGAACGCUGGCGGUAGGCCUAACACAUGCCAGUCGAACGGCAGCACAGUAAGAGCUUGCUCUUACGGGUGGCGAGUGGCGGACGGGUGAGGAAUACAUCGGAAUCUACUUUUUCGUGGGGGAUAACGUAGGGAAACUUACGCUAAUACCGCAUACGACCUACGGGUGAAAGCAGGGGAUCUUCGGACCUUGCGCGAUUGUAUGAGCCGAUGUCGGAUUAGCUAGUUGGCGGGGUAAAGGCCCACCAAGGCGACGAUCCGUAGCUGGUCUGAGAGGAUGAUCAGCCACACUGGAACUGAGACACGGUCCAGGCUCCUACGGGAGGCAGCAGUGGGGAAUAUUGGACAAUGGGCGAAAGCCUGAUCCAGCCAUACCGCGUGGGUGAAGAAGGCCUUCGGGUUGUAAAGCCCUUUUGUUGGGAAAGAAAAGCAGCAGGUUAAUACCCCGCUGUUCUGACGGUACCCAAAGAAUAAGCACCGGCUAACUUCGUG